UGUUGUCCCCCCCCCCCCCUCGGUUAGACUUUAMGGKKRWGKGRAGAAGUAUUGAGUUUAAUUAGAUGARGUAUAGUUUAUAAAAUAAUUAAGAGAGAAAAAAGUGAAAUUAGAAUUCUUUUUUUAAUAAUAUUAUAGUAAACUUGAGUCGAAGUUAGUAAGUAUUAGGUUUAAACUAGGAUUAGAUACCCUAUUAUACUAAUAAAAUGUAUAUUACUCAGAUUAUUAGAAGUUAUGUUCUUGAAAUUCGAAGAAUUUGGCGGUGAUUUAGUCUUGUUAGAGGAACCUGUUUUUGAAUCGAUACACCACGUAAAAUCUUACUCAUUUUAGUAAUAAAGUUUAUAUACCGUCAUUAUCAGAUGAUUUUCUAAGAAUAAAUUAUUAAGUUUUAUAUCAAAAAAGUUAAAUUAGAUCAAGGUGUAGCUAAUAAAUGAGUUAAAAUGGGUUACAAUAAAAUUUAUUUAAUACGAAAUAAUUAAAGAAAGAAGAAUUAUGAAGGAGGAUUUAAUUGUAAUUAAAGUAUAAUAAGCUUUAAAGAUAUAAGCUCUAAAUCAUGUACAUAUCGCCCGUCGCUUUYMYUUUWUAGAUGAGAUAAGUCGACAAAAAAAGGAAAAAAA
This 617-nucleotide ribosomal RNA is filed under the name Xanthidae sp. 2 KYKC-2019. RNAcentral's name for it is "partial small subunit ribosomal RNA". Lineage: Eukaryota; Metazoa; Arthropoda; Malacostraca; Decapoda; Xanthidae. The record is from RNAcentral.